This 495-nucleotide ribosomal RNA is filed under the name Pseudosermyle sp. WS130. Its description in RNAcentral is "partial 16S ribosomal RNA". It matches the Rfam family "Bacterial large subunit ribosomal RNA", at positions 1810 to 2580 of the family's 2925-position model. The record is from RNAcentral. Lineage: Eukaryota; Metazoa; Arthropoda; Insecta; Phasmatodea; Diapheromeridae.
AAAACAUCUUUUCUUGUUAAUUUUUUGAAAUYUGGCCUGCCCAAUGAUUAAUUUUAAUGGCCGCGGUAUUUUGACCGUGCAAAGGUAGCAUAAUCAUUAGUUUAUUAAUUGUAAACUUGUAUGAAUGGUUUGACGAAACAUUAACUGUCUCGUAGUUAUUAUUAGAAUUUGAAUUUUAAGUUAAAAUGCUUAAAUAUUUUUGUAGGACGAGAAGACCCUAUAGAUCUUUAGUUAUUACAUUUAAUUAUUUUUAGGUUAUAUUUGUUUUUUAUUUAUAAUUACUUUUGUUGGGGUGACAUAAAGAUAUAAUUAACUCUAUUUUUUUUUUUACAUUUAUUUUUGAUUAUUUGACCUAUUAUUAUUAUUUAUAAGAUGUAGAUACCUUAGGGAUAACAGCGUAAUCUUCUUUAAGAGUUCAUAUCGACAAGGGGGAUUGCGACCUCGAUGUUGGAUUAAGAUUAAUCUUGGGUGUAGGGGCUCAAUUAUUAGGUCUGU